UGGAUCCAGACUUUGAUUAUGGCUCAGGACGAACGCUGGCGGCACGCUUAACACAUGCAAGUCGAACGAAGAAAAUUUAGUUUACUAAGCUUUCUUAGUGGCGGACGGGUGAGUAACACGUGAGGAACCUGCCUUACAGAGGGGGAUACCGUCUGGAAACGGACGUUAAUACCGCAUAAGAUGACGAAACCGCAUGAUUUAGUCAUAAAAGAUUUAUCGCUGUAAGAUGGCCUCGCGUCUGAUUAGAUAGUUGGUGAGGUAACGGCCCACCAAGUCUACGAUCAGUAGCCGGACUGAGAGGUUGGACGGCCACAUUGGGACUGAGACACGGCCCAGACUCCUACGGGAGGCAGCAGUGGGGGAUAUUGCACAAUGGAGGAAACUCUGAUGCAGCGAUGCCGCGUGAGGGAAGAAGGUUUUAGGAUUGUAAACCUCUGUCUUUGGGGACGAUAAUGACGGUACCCAAGGAGGAAGCUCCGGCUAACUACGUGCCAGCAGCCGCGGUAAUACGUAGGGAGCGAGCGUUGUCCGGAAUUACUGGGUGUAAAGGGAGUGUAGGCGGGAUUGCAAGUCAGAUGUGAAAACUAUGGGCUUAACCCAUAGACUGCAUUUGAAACUACAAUUCUUGAGUGAAGUAGAGGUAAGCGGAAUUCCUAGUGUAGCGGUGAAAUGCGUAGAUAUUAGGAGGAACAUCAGUGGCGAAGGCGGCUUACUGGGCUUUAACUGACGCUGAGGCUCGAAAGCGUGGGGAGCAAACAGGAUUAGAUACCCUGGUAGUCCACGCCGUAAACGAUGAUUACUAGGUGUGGGGGGAUUGAACCCUUCCGUGCCGCAGUUAACACAAUAAGUAAUCCACCUGGGGAGUACGGCCGCAAGGCUGCAACUCAAAGGAAUUGACGGA
RNAcentral lists this ribosomal RNA (901 nucleotides) under uncultured Bacillota bacterium. RNAcentral describes it as "bacterial SSU rRNA". It matches the Rfam family "Bacterial small subunit ribosomal RNA", at positions 1 to 917 of the family's 1533-position model. Lineage: Bacteria; Bacillati; Bacillota. The record is from RNAcentral.